AACGAACGCUGGCGGCAUGCCUAACACAUGCAAGUCGAACGAGACCUUCGGGUCUAGUGGCGCACGGGUGCGUAACGCGUGGGAACCUGCCCUUAGGUUCGGAAUAACUCCCCGAAAGGGGUGCUAAUACCGGAUAAUGUCUUCGGACCAAAGAUUUAUCGCCUUUGGAUGGGCCCGCGUUGGAUUAGCUAGUUGGUAGGGUAAAAGCCUACCAAGGCGACGAUCCAUAGCUGGUCUGAGAGGAUGAUCAGCCACACUGGGACUGAGACACGGCCCAGACUCCUACGGGAGGCAGCAGUGGGGAAUAUUAGACAAUGGGCGAAAGACUGAUCCAGCAAUGCCGCGUGAGUGAUGAAGGCCUUAGGGUUGUAAAGCUCUUUUACCCGGGAUGAUAAUGACAGUACCGGGAGAAUAAGCUCCGGCUAACUCCGUG
RNAcentral lists this ribosomal RNA (433 nucleotides) under uncultured bacterium. Its description in RNAcentral is "partial 16S ribosomal RNA". It matches the Rfam family "Bacterial small subunit ribosomal RNA", at positions 29 to 507 of the family's 1533-position model. The record is from RNAcentral.